UCUGUGAGGUGAUUUGUUAGAAGCUCCUUUUCGAGGCAGCUCUAUUUCAAAGAUUUGAUGGGCUUUGUGUGAGUGAAAUGUAACUUUUAUUGUCAUAACAUGCUGAUAAGUUAAGGGUAACUAUAUUCAGAUUGCUGUCUUCAAAAAAAAAAAAAAAAAAAAGAAGAAGGUGAGUUCCCAUUGUAGCUCAGCCAUAACGAACCCAGCUAGGAUCCAUGAAGAUGCAGGUUUGAUCCCUGGCCUUGCUCAGAGGGUUAAGGAUCUGGUGUUGCCAUGAGCUGUGGUGUGGGUCACAGACAUGGCUCAGAUCCCGAAUUGCUGUGGCUGUGGUCUCAGGGCAUCACUGGAUUCCCGAACCACUGAGUGAGGUCAGAGAUCAAACCUGUGUCCUCAAGGAUACUAGUCAGUUCUUAACAGGAACUCUCCUGCUUUUCUUUUCUUCUCCAUUAUAAGGGAAAUACCGCCAAACUAGUGAUCAUUCAAAGGAAGGUGAUUAGAUCUGAAAAUCAUGACUGAGGAAUGGUUGAAGGAAUUAAAUAUUUCACCUGAAGAAGAGACGAUGGGAAGAUGUUAGAAGUCUUCAGAUACGCAAGUGAUUUUCUAGAAUGCAAAUUUAGGACCAUUAAUUAGAAGUUACUACAUCAAAAUGAAGUUUGUGUUUAGCAUAGAAAGAUGACCAUUUGUAGGGGAUAUUGUAAAUGAUACUUACAGCGCAAUGUUGGAUCAGAAACUGGAGGGGAAUACUUCUAAGUAAAGUUCCUUCCAACUCUAAUACCAAUACAGGAGUGACUGAAACCUUCCAUAGAGUGAAAAGAAUGUUUUUAAAACUUUAUUGAAAGAGGAAUAUUUUCAGAUCAGAUAUUAGAAAAGGUUAUUAAUGAGCCACAGGUAAAAAUUAAGUAGUAUUAUUUCCCUAUAUGCUAGGAAGUCACAAUGGAAAAUUCUCACAAAAUAUUUGUUGCUCCAGGUCUGAUACUGUUGAACUGUCCUUAGGAAUAUUCUGGUUGCUUUCUGCUGCUGUGAAAGUGACCCUCAAACAGGGCCAAACAAGAGUAUUUUAGUCAUUGACUUUAAGGGUAAAUCCAAUGUCAUUAAUGGAAUUUCUGUAGAACUUUGCUUGAAUAGACACCUCUAGCACUAAAACUGUAAAGUCAUUAACUGGUAAAAUAACGAAAUAAUUAAGCUUAGCUUCCUGGAACAGGGAAAUCUUAAAAGAUACUAUAGUGUUGGGUCAUUUAAACAUUAACAUUUAAUGUUUUCUGUUCUUUUUCUUUAGUGGUUACCCAGGCUGUCCUUACCCACCUGGCGGUCAGUAUCCUGCCACAACAAGUUCCCAGUACCCUUCACAGCCUCCUGUAACCACUGUUGGUAAGCACUCCUCAAAAUUAUACUUCUCCACAUAAGGAAAGUCAGAGUCUCCUGUUGUGAAAAGUGCAUUUUUCAAUUUUGUUUUGUAUUGAGUAAGUUUGACAUGUAACAUUGUAUAAGCUUAAGGAGUGCAGUGUGUUACUUUAAUACACUUGUAUAUUGUCAUAGGAUUGCAUUGUAGCAAUAUUUAUUAUGUUAUAUAAUUAGCAUACAAUAUUAUUUCUAUCCAUUAUACCAUGCCUUAGAUCUCUAUUGCUUAUUACUCCUUACAAAUUUACACCCUUAAAUACCAUCGAUUUAUCAUUACCACCCCCAGUUUCACUGUUACAUGUGAAAUGUUAGAAUACUCUUAAUUUUUACAGCAGAACCUCUUAAAGGUCAGUAUUUUAUACUUUAAGAAGUGAAAUGAUUUAUCUUCAUGUAAGCGAGCCUUCUAGGCCAUAAAAGCAAAUUCGAUUGACUUUUAUCACUUUUUCCUGUGUUUCACAUAUUUUUUUUGAUGCACUUUGUAUGUGUCCAAUUAUUAACAGAUAGUUAGGUUUUCCUAGCCUGGUUAGAUGUAAAAACAGAUGAGCAUCUUUAGAAGAAACCACCAUUGGGAUAUUAUGAGUGGAUCAAGUAAGACAAAUCAUUGCAGGCCAGUAGUUCUUGCUUUCUUACGUUGCUUAUUAGCGUUACCUGAAAUUUUCUUCUGCUGAGAAAAGAAAGCAGUACCAGAACUUCUACAGAUUCCCACCCCCACAUGACUAUCUGCCUUCUCCCUGUUACCGUAGAUCAGUUAUCGUUGCUUCUACCCACUAGAUGUUAUCCUCUCUUCAUUUGCUCAGGGACAUCACUUCAGCACUUUCCCCUCUCAUCGUCAGUUUUUAUUCUCUGCUGUGUUGCUGUCAUCAGCACAUACAAAAAUAUGCCCUAAAAUAACCCUAAAAAAAUUCUCCUCUGGAGUUCUCUUAUGGUGCAGCAGGUUAAGAAUCUGGUAUUGUCACUGCAGCAGCUUAGGUCACUGCUGUGGCAUGGGUUUGAUCCCCGGCCCAGGAACUUCCACAUGAUGUGGGCAUGGCUUAAAAAAGAAAUCCUACUCUUAAUUUCACUUUGCCUGCCAUCACUGCUCCAUUUCUUCAUUCCCAUUUGCAGCAAAAUUCCUCAAGACCAUUAUCUAAGUACUCAUUAUCUUUAAUUCUUCUUUCACUCUUGAACCUCUUCAUUUGGGAUUUUCCUUAUGUCAUUCCACUAAAACUGCUUUUCUCAAGGUCACUAUUGACCUUUGUGAUAUUAAAUCCAGUAGCCAUGAGUUCCCGUCAUGGCUCAGUGAUUAACAAAUCUGACUAGCAUCCAUGAGGACACAGGUUCGGUCCCUGGCCUUGUUCAUUGGGUUGAGGAUCCGGCAUUGCCAUGAGCUGUGGUGUGGGUCACAGACGAGGCUUGGAUCCUGCUUGGCUGUGGCUGUGUUGUAGGCCAGCAGCUACAGCUCUGAUUCGAUUCCUAGCCUGGGAACCUCUGUGUGCCGAGGGU
This 2880-nucleotide long non-coding RNA is filed under the name Sus scrofa (pig). RNAcentral describes it as "lncRNA (ENSSSCG00000062865.1)". Lineage: Eukaryota; Metazoa; Chordata; Mammalia; Artiodactyla; Suidae. The record is from RNAcentral.